AUGAAUUGACACAGUUUCUGAGCUCAAAAAUAACUUGAAGAAACUAACAAGAAAAUGCUGAGGUCUUUCUAGCAUAGGUAUCAACUUCAAGUUUAACGAAAUCUUUAUCGUUCUGCUUAAAUAAUCAAAAACCCCACAACGGCGAAAAAUAAUUCUAUCUUCUCUGUAAAAAGGAUGAAGAGGCUCUCCCUGAAAAUAGGGUUGAAACAGGCUACUCCUCAUCUGAGUAGUUGAACUUGACGGAGUGUGAUUGCAAGUCAAUUAUCCCUCCUCUGUAACUGCCUCGCUUCUUUUUGGUUUUCUCAUGUCGGAAAUCCCUUCCUUUCACCUGGCCCAAAACCUCCUGUGCCUUUGCACCAUAGCCAAUGUCUG
This 372-nucleotide unclassified non-coding RNA is filed under the name Hevea brasiliensis (rubber tree). Lineage: Eukaryota; Viridiplantae; Streptophyta; Magnoliopsida; Malpighiales; Euphorbiaceae. The record is from RNAcentral.